AGCGAACGCUGGCGGUAGGCCUAACACAUGCAAGUCGAACGGCAGCACAGUAAGAGCUUGCUCUUACGGGUGGCGAGUGGCGGACGGGUGAGGAAUACAUCGGAAUCUACUUUUUCGUGGGGGAUAACGUAGGGAAACUUACGCUAAUACCGCAUACGACCUACGGGCGAAAGCAGGGGAUCUUCGGACCUUGCGCGAUUGAAUGAGCCGAUGUCGGAUUAGCUAGUUGGCGGGGUAAAGGCCCACCAAGGCGACGAUCCGUAGCUGGUCUGAGAGGAUGAUCAGCCACACUGGAAUUGAGACACGGUCCAGACUCCUACGGGAGGCAGCAGUGGGGAAUAUUGGACAAAGGGCGCAAGCCUGAUCCAGCCAUACCGCGUGGGUGAAGAAGGCCUUCGGGUUGUAAAGCCCUUUUGUUGGGAAAGAAAAGCAGCAGGUUAAUACCCCGCUGUUCUGACGGUACCCAAAGAAUAAGCACCGGCUAACUUCGUG
This 492-nucleotide ribosomal RNA is filed under the name uncultured bacterium. Its description in RNAcentral is "partial 16S ribosomal RNA". It matches the Rfam family "Bacterial small subunit ribosomal RNA", at positions 29 to 507 of the family's 1533-position model. The record is from RNAcentral.